AUUAGAGUUUGAUCCUGGCUCAGGACGAACGCUGGCGGCAUGCCUAACACAUGCAAGUCUAGGGGUAGCAAUACCACUGGCGCACGGGUGAGUAACACGUAGGUCAUCUGCCCCCAUCACAGACAUAACCCCGGGAAACCGGGGCUAAUAUCUGAUGAGGCCGAGAGGUCAAAGCUUAGGCGGAUGGGGAUGAGCCUGCGGCUGAUUAGCUAGUUGGUGAGGUAAUGGCUCACCAAGGCGACGAUCAGUAGCUGGUCUGAGAGGACGAACAGCCACACUGGAACUGAGACACGGUCCAGACUCCUACGGGAGGCAGCAGUGAGGAAUAUUGGUCAAUGGGCGCAAGCCUGAACCAGCAAUGCCGCGUGUGGGAUGACGGGGCUCUGCCUUGUAAACCACUGUCGGACGGGACGAAAAGGGAUAUCAAUCCCUGGGACGGUACCGUCAAAGGAAGGGUCGGCUAACUACGUGCCAGCAGCCGCGGUAAUAAUC
Molecule: ribosomal RNA, 492 nt
Filed under: uncultured bacterium
Lineage: Bacteria
Description: bacterial SSU rRNA
Rfam family: Bacterial small subunit ribosomal RNA
Source: RNAcentral